RNAcentral lists this ribosomal RNA (205 nucleotides) under uncultured bacterium. Its description in RNAcentral is "partial 16S ribosomal RNA". It matches the Rfam family "Bacterial small subunit ribosomal RNA", at positions 1287 to 1500 of the family's 1533-position model. The record is from RNAcentral.
CUCAGUUCGGAUCGGAGUCUGCAACCCGACUCCGUGAAGCUGGAUUCGCUGUAAUCGCGCAUCAGCCAUGGCGCGGUGAAUACGUUCCCGGGCCUUGUACACACCGCCCGUCAAGCCAUGGGAGCCGGGGGUGCUUGAAGUGCGUCGCCGCAAGGCGCGCCCUAGAGCAAAACCGGUGACUGGGGCUAAGUCGUAACAAGGUAGC